This 701-nucleotide ribosomal RNA is filed under the name Bacillus cereus. RNAcentral's name for it is "bacterial SSU rRNA". It matches the Rfam family "Bacterial small subunit ribosomal RNA", at positions 37 to 718 of the family's 1533-position model. The record is from RNAcentral. Lineage: Bacteria; Bacillati; Bacillota; Bacilli; Caryophanales; Bacillaceae.
UNGCGGCGNGNCUAAUACAUGCAAGUCNAGCGAAUGGAUUAAGAGCUUGCUCUUAUGAAGUUAGCGGCGGACGGGUGAGUAACACGUGGGUAACCUGCCCAUAAGACUGGGAUAACUCCGGGAAACCGGGGCUAAUACCGGAUAACAUUUUGAACCGCAUGGUUCGAAAUUGAAAGGCGGCUUCGGCUGUCACUUAUGGAUGGACCCGCGUCGCAUUAGCUAGUUGGUGAGGUAACGGCUCACCAAGGCAACGAUGCGUAGCCGACCUGAGAGGGUGAUCGGCCACACUGGGACUGAGACACGGCCCAGACUCCUACGGGAGGCAGCAGUAGGGAAUCUUCCGCAAUGGACGAAAGUCUGACGGAGCAACGCCGCGUGAGUGAUGAAGGCUUUCGGGUCGUAAAACUCUGUUGUUAGGGAAGAACAAGUGCUAGUUGAAUAAGCUGGCACCUUGACGGUACCUAACCAGAAAGCCACGGCUAACUACGUGCCAGCAGCCGCGGUAAUACGUAGGUGGCAAGCGUUAUCCGGAAUUAUUGGGCGUAAAGCGCGCGCAGGUGGUUUCUUAAGUCUGAUGUGAAAGCCCACGGCUCAACCGUGGAGGGUCAUUGGAAACUGGGAGACUUGAGUGCAGAAGAGGAAAGUGGAAUUCCAUGUGUAGCGGUGAAAUGCGUAGAGAUAUGGAGGAACACCAGUGGCGA